CACUCCCAUCCCGCCGCCGCUGCCGGCUCCUGGGAAGAGCCCGCAAGCACCACCACGACCUUGCCCGAGCACUGGGAAUCCAAUGGCUGUGAGGUGAGGUUCUUAAGGAAGACUGAAUUGAGAGAUGAACAGCCUUCAGCUUAUUUUUUCCUCAUAACUGUUGCAUAUUUAUGUGCUGAAUUGUGAUGAGCUGUCCUUCCUAUAUUGCAUAUUACUGGUUAUUUUAAUUCAUGAGAUGACAUUCAGAGCAGAGAGGUGCUUCUGAAAGUUU
Molecule: long non-coding RNA, 271 nt
Filed under: Manacus vitellinus (golden-collared manakin)
Lineage: Eukaryota; Metazoa; Chordata; Aves; Passeriformes; Pipridae
Description: lncRNA (ENSMVIG00005006666.1)
Source: RNAcentral